CUCUUAGAUGUCCGGGGCCGCACGCGCGCUACACUGAAGGAAUCAGCGUGGCUUUCUCCCUGACCCGAAAGGGUUGGGAAACCCGUUGAAUCUCCUUCGUGAUAGGGAUUGGGGCUUGAAAUUGUUCCCCAUGAACGAGGAAUUCCCAGUAAGCGCGAGUCAUAAGCUCGCGUUGAUUACGUCCCUGCCCUUUGUACACACCGCCCGUCGCUACUACCGAUUGAACGGUCUAGUGAGGGCCUCGGAUUGGUCUCGGCCCGCUCUUUACCGGGCGGCGCCGUUGGUCGAGAAGACGCUCGAACUUGAUCGUUUAGAGGAAGUAAAAGUCGUAACA
This 334-nucleotide ribosomal RNA is filed under the name uncultured eukaryote. RNAcentral describes it as "partial 18S ribosomal RNA". It matches the Rfam family "Eukaryotic small subunit ribosomal RNA", at positions 1470 to 1796 of the family's 1831-position model. The record is from RNAcentral.